RNAcentral lists this ribosomal RNA (236 nucleotides) under uncultured bacterium. Its description in RNAcentral is "partial 16S ribosomal RNA". It matches the Rfam family "Bacterial small subunit ribosomal RNA", at positions 28 to 253 of the family's 1533-position model. The record is from RNAcentral.
GACGAACGCUGGCGGCGUGCUUAACACAUGCAAGUCGAGGGCAUCAGGAGGAGCAAUCUUUCUGGUGACCGGCGAACGGGUGCGUAACACGUGAGCGACCUACCCUGGUGUGGGGGAUAGCCGGCCCAACGGCCGGGUAAGACCGCAUACGCUUGUUGGAGUACCUGCUCUGGCAAGGAAAACCUGGGGCAACCCAGGUGCACCGGGAGGGGCUCGCGGCCUAUCAGCUUGUUGGC